Molecule: ribosomal RNA, 420 nt
Filed under: Lactiplantibacillus plantarum
Lineage: Bacteria; Bacillati; Bacillota; Bacilli; Lactobacillales; Lactobacillaceae
Description: bacterial SSU rRNA
Rfam family: Bacterial small subunit ribosomal RNA
Source: RNAcentral
AGUGAGUGGCGAACUGGUGAGUAACACGUGGGAAACCUGCCCAGAAGCGGGGGAUAACACCUGGAAACAGAUGCUAAUACCGCAUAACAACUUGGACCGCAUGGUCCGAGCUUGAAAGAUGGCUUCGGCUAUCACUUUUGGAUGGUCCCGCGGCGUAUUAGCUAGAUGGUGGGGUAACGGCUCACCAUGGCAAUGAUACGUAGCCGACCUGAGAGGGUAAUCGGCCACAUUGGGACUGAGACACGGCCCAAACUCCUACGGGAGGCAGCAGUAGGGAAUCUUCCACAAUGGACGAAAGUCUGAUGGAGCAACGCCGCGUGAGUGAAGAAGGGUUUCGGCUCGUAAAACUCUGUUGUUAAAGAAGAACAUAUCUGAGAGUAACUGUUCAGGUAUUGACGGUAUUUAACCAGAAAGCCACGG